CAACUAAGUUCAGUGCACACACAUCUUCAGCUUCGGAUGAGAACGAGGGAUUAUCUACCUCUGUUCAAUAUUUGUUCUUUUGGUGUUUUGAGUUAGGAGCUACUUUUUCUUUUUCUUUCGCCAAUGAAAUUCAAGUAUUGAGGUUUCAGAGAUGGUUAAAGUCCAAUCUUGAGUUGAUGAUCUUCUGGGGAAACUUCUUGGGGUCUUCCAUUGAAAGUUCCUAGAAAAGACAAUUUGGUGGUUUGGCUCUCCCAAUGAUCGAUGAUGGAUCAGGGAGAUGAUCCAUCCAUGGAGAAGAAGAGAACACCUGCAUGCAUUUUCUUUAAAGAUUUCAGACUUGUCCUUAAACUGGAUGAACUUGGGGUAGAAAUAGCACGUAUUGCAUUGCCUGCGGCGCUGGCUUUGACAGCAGACCCUAUUGCCUCUCUGGUGGACACAGCAUUUAUCGGCCGAAUAGGUCCAGUGGAGCUAGCUGCUGUUGGAGUUUCUAUUGCUCUAUUCAAUCAAGUAUCAAGAAUUGCAAUAUUCCCACUUGUCAGUGUCACAACAUCUUUUGUUGCUGAAGAAGAUACAAUUGGAAAAGUGAGUCCUGAAGUACAAGAGAAUGAAGCCUUGGAGAUAGGUUCAGCUGUAAACAAUGAAAGUAAAGAGUUGAUACCACAAAGUGAAAAAUCACUUAUUAGCAGCUUUGAUAUUGUUAAGAUUGAGAAUGAAAGAAGGCAUAUCCCCUCAGCCUCAUCUGCAGUAGUUAUUGGCGCCAUCCUUGGCUUCAUCCAAGCUAUAUUCCUCAUAUCUAGAGCAAAACCAUUGUUGAACUUCAUGGGAGUUGGUCCUGAUUCACCCAUGCUAAGCCCUGCACAGCAAUAUUUGACAUUGAGGUCACUUGGCGCCCCUGCAGUUCUCCUUUCCUUGGCCAUGCAAGGGGUCUUCCGUGGAUUGAAAGAUACAAAGACUCCUUUAUAUGCCACUGUGGCUGGAGAUGUAACAAAUAUAAUUUUAGACCCCCUACUCAUGUUUGUUUUCCGUCUGGGAGUUAGUGGUGCAGCCAUUGCCCAUGUUAUAUCCCAAUAUCUGAUUUCAAUUAUACUCUUGUGGAGACUAAUGGAACAAGUUGAUCUCGUACCUCCUAGUGUCAGACAUCUGCAAUUUGGUAAAUUUCUUAAAAAUGGUUUUCUAUUACUAAUGAGGGUCAUAGCUGUCACAUUCUGUGUUACUCUUUCUGCAUCAUUAGCUGCACGACAAGGAUCAACAUCCAUGGCUGCAUUUCAGGUCUGCUUGCAAGUUUGGCUGACCACAUCUCUUCUCGCUGAUGGAUUGGCUGUUGCUGGCCAGGCAAUACUUGCAAGUGCCUUUGCCAAAAGGGACUAUGACAAGGUGACGGCCACUGCAUCUCGAAUAUUGCAGUUGGGAUUGCUUCUAGGAUUGUCGCUGGCUCUCAUACUUGGACUAGGAUUGAGUUUUGGAGCAAGAUUAUUCACAAGUGAUGUCAAUGUUCUUCACAUGAUUAGUAUAGGCAUCCCGUUUGUUGCAGGUACUCAACCCCUCAACGCCUUGGCAUUUGUAUUUGACGGUGUCAACUUUGGAGCUUCUGAUUUUGCGUACUCUGCCUACUCCAUGGUGCUGGUGGCCAUUGUUAGCAUCCAAUGUUUAGUUUUUCUCUCCUCCAGUUAUAAUUUCAUUGGCAUCUGGGUUGCUCUGACCAUAUAUAUGACUCUUCGUGCGUCCGCAGGCUUUUGGAGGAUAGGGACUAGAACAGGACCCUGGAAGUUUCUCGGGAGCUCUUAAUCGCUUGUUUAUUGUUUCAGCCAUUUUUUUCUUCUCAUGGAUAGCAUGCCUCUGGUUGUAUAAGGAUACCUUUCUUUCUUCUGUUGUAUUCUUUUUAAGUUCAAAUAUCAUGAAUAUUAUUGUUCCUUCCUAUCUCCUGCAAAAAAAAAAUGGCUGAAACAAUAAACAAGCG
This 1957-nucleotide unclassified non-coding RNA is filed under the name Hevea brasiliensis (rubber tree). Lineage: Eukaryota; Viridiplantae; Streptophyta; Magnoliopsida; Malpighiales; Euphorbiaceae. The record is from RNAcentral.